ACCGGCAACAGCCCAAAACUCAAAGGACUUGGCGGUGCUUCACACCCUUCUAGAGGAGCCUGUUCUAUAAUCGAUAAACCCCGAUAAACCUCACCAAUCCUUGCUAAUACAGUCUAUAUACCGCCAUCUUCAGCAAACCCUAAAAAGGAACAAAAGUAAGCUCAAUCAUAGCACAUAAAGACGUUAGGUCAAGGUGUAACCUAUGGAGUGGGAAGAAAUGGGCUACAUUUUCUGUUUCAAGAAAAUUUAAUACGAAAGCUAUCAUGAAACUAAUAGCCAAAGGAGGAUUUAGCAGUAAACUGAGAAUAGAGUGCUUAGUUGAAUCAGGCCAUGAAGCACGCACACACCGCCCGUCACCCUCCUCAAGCAAAUACAGGACACUUAAAACCUAUUUAAACACACCAGUCACACAAGAGGAGACAAGU
RNAcentral lists this ribosomal RNA (425 nucleotides) under Rupicapra rupicapra rupicapra. Its description in RNAcentral is "partial 12S ribosomal RNA". It matches the Rfam family "Bacterial small subunit ribosomal RNA", at positions 882 to 1486 of the family's 1533-position model. Lineage: Eukaryota; Metazoa; Chordata; Mammalia; Artiodactyla; Bovidae. The record is from RNAcentral.